Molecule: RNase MRP RNA, 519 nt
Filed under: Colletotrichum orbiculare MAFF 240422
Lineage: Eukaryota; Fungi; Ascomycota; Sordariomycetes; Glomerellales; Glomerellaceae
Description: rNase MRP
Rfam family: RNase MRP
About the family: RNase MRP is an enzymatically active ribonucleoprotein with two distinct roles in eukaryotes.
Source: Rfam by way of RNAcentral
UCCUCGUCCGACAAAUCGCCAUCGAAGCUCACAAACAGAGACGCUUUCCUUCGGGGAACGUCUCGAUCUUUCGGGAUCACACUAGCUUUGGGAGAAAGUCCCCGGACACACGUUGUCUUCCUUUCGGGGAAGUACGAAACGCCGCGGAAACGCGCCGCCAUAGAAGCACUGCGGCUGACCUCCAAGACCUGCGUCCGGAUGUAAUUGCCCUCUCCCCUCCGCCCCGCCUGGUCGUUACACCGUCGCGGCUCUUUCUGUACCCGGUCCGAACAACCUUACUUGCGAUCCCGAGACCCCAUGGACGAAGAUAUGAGUCCGCGCUCGGGAUCAAGGGUUUGGGAUAGCUUCGGCUGGUAUGGGAAAGUGGCCCUUUGGUGACUGGGUGGCCGCGUGGGAGGGUCGCUUGCCGGGCGAAUUCAAGGGUCGGUCGGAGGAUAUUUCGUCGAGAUUUGAUAGGUAUGCGAUUGCCCUCCCUUCACGGGGAUGGGUUACUCGAUGGGGCUUAUUCUCGGCGCGAGG